UCUAAACGCGAAGAACCCUUACCUACUCUUCACAUCCAAAAGAAUUCGCUAGAAAUAGCUUAGUGCCUUCGGGAACUCUGAGACAGGUGCUGCAUGGCUGUCGUCAGCCCGUGUUGUGAAAUGUUGGGUUAAGUCCCGCAACGAGCGCAACCCUUAUCCUUUGUUGCCAGCACGUAAUGGUGGGAACUCAAAGGAGACUGCCGGUGAUAAACCGGAGGAAGGUGGGGAUGACGUCAAGUCAUCAUGGCCCUUACGAGUAGGGCUACACACGUGCUACAAUGGCGUAUACAAAGAGAAGCGAACUCGCGAGAGCAAGCGGACCUCAUAAAGUACGUCGUAGUCCGGAUCGGAGUCUGCAACUCGACUCCGUGAAGUCGGAAUCGCUAGUAAUCGUAGAUCAGAAUGCUACGGUGAAUACGUUCCCGGGCCUUGUACACACCGCCCGUCACACCAUGGGAGUGGGUUGCAAAAGAAGUAGGUAGCUUAACCUUCGGGAGGGCGCUAC
RNAcentral lists this ribosomal RNA (505 nucleotides) under Serratia sp. SP-3.4. Its description in RNAcentral is "bacterial SSU rRNA". It matches the Rfam family "Bacterial small subunit ribosomal RNA", at positions 954 to 1457 of the family's 1533-position model. The record is from RNAcentral. Lineage: Bacteria; Pseudomonadati; Pseudomonadota; Gammaproteobacteria; Enterobacterales; Yersiniaceae.